Molecule: ribosomal RNA, 253 nt
Filed under: uncultured bacterium
Lineage: Bacteria
Description: partial 16S ribosomal RNA
Rfam family: Bacterial small subunit ribosomal RNA
Source: RNAcentral
UACGUGGGCCUCAAACGUUGUCCGGAUUAAUUGGGCGUAAAGCGUCCGCAGGUUGUGAUGUAAGUCAAUGGUCAAAUCCCGGUGCUCAACUCCGGGACUGCCAUAGAUACUGCAACACUUGAGGCUGGGAGAGGCAAGCGGAACUAUCGGUGUAGUCGUAAUAAGCGCUGAGAUCGAUAGGAACACCAAAGGCGAAGGCAGCUUGCUAGAACAUGCCUGACACUCAUGGACGAAAGCGUGGGUAGCGAAAGGG